Long non-coding RNA from Cataglyphis hispanica, 2092 nucleotides. RefSeq lists it as uncharacterized. The transcript has 4 exons. Lineage: Eukaryota; Metazoa; Arthropoda; Insecta; Hymenoptera; Formicidae. The record is from RefSeq and is a predicted model, not a curated record.
UAGAGUCAUUGAAUUACAAAUCGAACUUGAGAUCUGACUCGACUCGAUUCAGAGUCGGGUAGAGUCAACAAAUCGAAUACGCUAUUUGAAGCAAAAUAGUAAACAUUUGUUGUGUGUGCAAAGUAACAAAAUCAUGGAAGUCAGAUAUUAUUUUGCAUAGUUUGCCAAAGGAUCCAGACAUAAGAGAAAAAUGGUUAAAAAUAUUAAAGAAAAUUAAUACUAAAGAAAAAUAUUCUACAUCUCUUUCCGUUUGCAAUAAACAUUUUAAACCUGAAGAUUAUCGUAAAUUAUGUGACAGGCCAAUUUUAAAGAAAGGGGCUAUUCCGCAAUUAAAUAUUGAAUUGGACACACGUAUAAAAUCCAAUGAAAAUAAUCCAAUAAAUUUCCAAGAUUCUUCUCAUAAAGAGACAGUAGAAAAUAUUAAUGAUGGUAUUGAUAAUAGUCAGAUUGCAAGUGUAUCAAGAGCUGAUAAUGAAGCUACAACUAUGAAAUGUUUGAAAAGGAAAAAUGACUUCAAUUAUGAUGAAUCCAGUGUUCAAAAAAAAUACGCUGUUACUUAAAGAAUUUUGGUAUUUUUAGAAGAGAAGAUUUUACAAAUGAAAUCGCGUGGAAUCGAUUUUUGAUUGCAUUCAAUGGAAUGAAAAAAGAAAAUCUAUUAUUAGGACAAAAGAAUGAACGCCUGCUUAUGGAAGUUUAAAAGUUCCAAGACAUCAUUUUUAAUUUAAAGAAAAAAAAAGUUGUUGAUGGAUUCAGUUUCCAAUAUAUUGAUUGUAAGUAAAAAAAAACAACAAGAAGUUGACUGAUAAUUUUAGGCACUGUAGAGUUAUACUCUUGAGAUACUAUUCACUCUUAAAAUUUAUAGCAAUAUUUAUAGUACGUUUUUUACAUUUAAAAAAGACAAUUUUAAAUGUCUUAAGUCAUUGUCAUCAUCAUCUUUGUCUGAAGAUACUAAUGGCUUUUUGAUUGAUCAUGGGUCUGUUUGUUUUAGCUGAACUGGCUGCACUAGUUCAAAGUUUAUCUUUUUCUUUCCAAUAUGGAAGAAAAAGGUAAAUUCUGAAUUAGUGCAGCCAGUUCAGCUAAAACGAACAGACCCCAUGACAUCUUAAGAUAAUACUUAAAAUGAUUUUAAAUAUAAUAACAGACUGUGACUAAAUAUAAAAGGACAAGAAUUGUAAAUAAUUUAGAUACAUGUAUACAAUUUAUAUAUAUUGAUAAACUACAUACGUACAUAUACAUUUUGUACAUAUAUUUAUUUUAAUUCAAUAUUUACUUUUAUUUGUAGUUAUUUGUAGUUUUCCAAAUAAUCAUCAAAUUAAUUUUUUUCAUUUAUAUAUAUUUACACAGUAUACACGAAUAUUCUAAGGAAUUAUUAAUAUUUACCAUAAAAUUUUAAUAUCUAAUAUAUACGCAUAUACGCAUACGAAUAUGUAAGAAAAACAUUUAUGAGUGUUUUAUGCCACCAAAGAACAAUCAGAAAGUGGUUAAAUUCUGCUAAUAAUGGACCAGAAAUUUCUAUUGCUGCAUUGAAGCAAUAGAAAUUUCUGGUCCAUUAAUGCGGUCGGCGAAUAAAAAGAAUAAAAAGAACAUGUUUUCUGUAAAGGAAAAAAGAUCAAAAACAUUUAAAUUUUUAUAAUUUGUUUAUUACUGUAUAAUUAAAAGAUAGAAUAUAUAUAUAUAUAUAUAUAUAUUAGAUAUUAAAAUUUUAUGGUAAAUAUUAAUAAUUCCUUAGAAUAUUCGUGUAUACUGUGUAAAUAUAUAUAAAUGAAAAAAUUAAUUUGAUGAUUAUUUGGAAAACUGCAAAUAAUUAUAAAUAAAAGUAAAUAUUGAAUUAAAAUAAAUAUAUGUAUAAAAUGUAUAUGUCAGAUUUAUGUCAAAAAGCUGAAACUGAUAAUAAGAAAUUAUAUUAAUAUUUUUUAUUAACGCGUGAUGAAAUGGCAAUUAGAAAACGUGGAAUUUGAUGGAAAGCAAUGACACGGAUUUAUUGAUGUUGGAAACAAGAUUGAUGAUGACAAUCAUAUUAAAAAUGAUAUUGAAGCAACUAAUGUUUUUGUUUUUAUGCUAGUAGACAUUAAUAUAUAUUUCAAAAUUGUUA